GACGAACUGCCCAAACGUUGUUCGGAAUCACUGGGCUUAAAGGGCGCGUAGGCGGCAGAUCAAGUCAGGGGUGAAAUCCGGCAGCUCAACUGUCGAAGUGCCUUUGAUACUGAUUUGCUCGAGGGAUAUAGGGGUCUGUGGAACUUCUGGUGGAGCGGUGAAAUGUGUUGAUAUUGGAAGGAACGCCGGUGGCGAAAGCGACACACUGGACCUUGUCUGACGCUGAGGCACGAAAGCCAGGGGAGCAAACGGG
Molecule: ribosomal RNA, 253 nt
Filed under: uncultured bacterium
Lineage: Bacteria
Description: partial 16S ribosomal RNA
Rfam family: Bacterial small subunit ribosomal RNA
Source: RNAcentral